CCUACGGGAGGUAGCAGUGGGGAAUAUUGCACAAUGGGGGAAACCCUGAUGCAGCGACGCCGCGUGAGUGAAGAAGUAUCUCGGUACGUAAAGCUCUAUCAGCAGGGAAGAAACUGACGGUACCUGACUAAGAAGCCCCGGCUAACUACGUGCCAGCAGCCGCGGUAAUACGUAGGGGGAAAGCGUUAUCCGGAUUUACUGGGUGUAAAGGGAGCGUAGACGGCAGCACAAGUCUGGAGUGAAAUCCCGGGGCUUAACCCCGGAACUGCUUUGGAAACUGGGCGGCUGGAGUGCAGGAGGGGUAAGCGGAAUUCCUAGUGUAGCGGUGAAAUGCGUAGAUAGUAGGAGGAACACCGGUGGCGAAGGCGGCUUACUGGACUGUAACUGACGUUGAGGCUCGAAAGCGUGGGGAGCAAACAGGAUUAGAGACCCCUGUAGUC
RNAcentral lists this ribosomal RNA (440 nucleotides) under uncultured bacterium. RNAcentral's name for it is "partial 16S ribosomal RNA". It matches the Rfam family "Bacterial small subunit ribosomal RNA", at positions 338 to 795 of the family's 1533-position model. The record is from RNAcentral.